UGCCCCAUGGUGUAAUGGUAGCACUCCUGUUUUUGGUACAGAUAGUCCAAGUUCAAAUCUUGGUGGGGUAA
RNAcentral lists this transfer RNA (71 nucleotides) under Phycisphaera sp. Its description in RNAcentral is "tRNA-Gln". It matches the Rfam family "tRNA". Rfam says of the family: Transfer RNA (tRNA) molecules are approximately 80 nucleotides in length. Their secondary structure includes four short double-helical elements and three loops (D, anti-codon, and T loops). Lineage: Bacteria; Pseudomonadati; Planctomycetota; Phycisphaerae; Phycisphaerales; Phycisphaeraceae. The record is from RNAcentral. RNAcentral also lists the same sequence under 1 other name.